CAGCCGCCGCGGUAAUACGGAGGGGGCUAGCGUUGUUCGGAAUUACUGGGCGUAAAGCGCACGUAGGCGGCUGUGUAAGUCAGGGGUGAAAGCCCGGGGCUCAACCCCGGAAUAGCCUUUGAGACUGCAUAGCUUGAACACGGGAGAGGUGAGUGGAAUUCCGAGUGUAGAGGUGAAAUUCGUAGAUAUUCGGAAGAACACCAGUGGCGAAGGCGGCUCACUGGACCGUUGUUGACGCUGAGGUGCGAAAGCGUGGGGAGCAAACAGGAUUAGAUCCCCCCGUAGUCCCUGUCUCUUAUAC
Molecule: ribosomal RNA, 301 nt
Filed under: uncultured bacterium
Lineage: Bacteria
Description: partial 16S ribosomal RNA
Rfam family: Bacterial small subunit ribosomal RNA
Source: RNAcentral